CUCGGAUUGCUCUGCUAUUAGUCUGAGGAAACAGACAGCAACAACGCUGAUUACAGCCACCGGCCUCAACAAUUUUUUUUCUAACUAGUAAUUUCCAGAGCAAGUGCCACAGUGUCAGCUAAAGAAACACAACUGCGGGUUUUCUGCAGAGCGAAAUGGUUCUGAAAUGUCACUGAAUGGCUCACAAAGGACGCCAAUCUACGACAACAGAGACAUAAGCAUAUAGGAGAAAGGGCCCACACAUCCUCCUUUCAAAGGUCACAUAAAGCUUACUGCAGGUCAGGAAAUGUCUUCUGUUUCCAAAGCAUCUCACAGGAUGUGGAGAAAAGAGAGAGAAAGGGAGAGAAGAGUCAUGGACCCUACUUUAUGGUUGCCAUGGAGGCAAGGUCAGCCUUCCACACUUGGAUCUACCAGCAGAGUUCAGACAGGUCAACGUGUGACCGGCUCAGGCCCUGGGGUUAAAAGUUCAAGCAGCGAUGGAAAAACCAAUAUGUCCACGCAGAAUAUGCUGUACAAUUUAUUUCAAUUUACAUCAAGCCAUGCAUAUAAAAUUUAGAUAAAUUCCAUUCAAAUCUGAUGUUGCCUGACACACAAUGUAUGCAAACAGAUGUCUGUGGGGCUUUUUCUGUGCUUUAGAAAACAACAUUAAAUUUAAAAAUAUGUCUCUGGGAUUUCUUUAUUGAAUUACAAAUUGAACAUAAUUUUAACUUAAAUGUUUUCAUUCUUUCUUCCAAUUUUUUUUUGUGGGGGUCUUAAUAAUUUCUCAGUUCUCAAUCUACUCUAUGUCAUAUUAAAGAGGAUAAUGUAUAUUUACAA
Molecule: non-coding RNA, 816 nt
Organism: Ceratotherium simum simum (southern white rhinoceros)
Lineage: Eukaryota; Metazoa; Chordata; Mammalia; Perissodactyla; Rhinocerotidae
Source: RefSeq, a predicted model, not a curated record